GGCCCCGUGGCGAAAUGGCAGACGCAGCGGACUUAAAAUCCGCAGUCCCUCAAAAGACGUGUGGGUUCGAGUCCCACCGGGGCCA
Molecule: transfer RNA, 85 nt
Filed under: Phycisphaerae bacterium
Lineage: Bacteria; Pseudomonadati; Planctomycetota; Phycisphaerae
Description: tRNA-Leu
Rfam family: tRNA
About the family: Transfer RNA (tRNA) molecules are approximately 80 nucleotides in length.
Source: RNAcentral